UGGGGAAUAUUGCACAAUGGAGGGAACUCUGAUGCAGCGACGCCGCGUGAGUGAUGAAGGAAUUCGUUUCGUAAAACUCUGUUCUAUGGGAAGAAAAGGACUGUACCAUAGGAGAAAGCUCCGGCUAAAUACGUGCCAGCAGCCGCGGUAAUACGUAUGGAGCGAGCGUUGUCCGGAAUUAUUGGGCGUAAAGGGUGCGCAGGCGGCUUUACAAGUUGGAUGUGAAAUAUUGUGGCUCAACCUCAAACGUGCAUCCAAAACUGCAAAGCUUGAGUUAAGGAGAGGUAAGUGGAAUUCCUGGUGUAGCGGUGGAAUGCGUAGAUAUCAGGAGGAAUACCGGUGGCGAAGGCGACUUACUGGACUUAAACUGACGCUCAGGCACGAAAGCGUGGGGAGCAAACAGG
Molecule: ribosomal RNA, 404 nt
Filed under: Fusobacteriota bacterium
Lineage: Bacteria; Fusobacteriati; Fusobacteriota
Description: Fusobacteria bacterium partial 16S ribosomal RNA
Rfam family: Bacterial small subunit ribosomal RNA
Source: RNAcentral